ACCAAUGUGAUGAGUGUGGGGAAGGCCAUAGAAAGGACCGGCGAAUGCUGGCAUUGAUGUGUGUUAUUUUAACAUUUCUGAAAUCCUGUUCUUAGUCUGCACACCUUGUCCGAGGCUCCGAUGUUAUCCAGGUGAUUCAUCAUUUAAUGCUGUUGGCUUCAACAUGGAUUUAAUGGUAACUAAACCAAGUGCACACUAUGUGAAGAUCUAUUCACUUGGAGGUCCUUCAUUUCAGGUCACCAGGUAUGCCCCUGGGCUCCUGCCGCAGCUGAUCGGGUGCUAGGUGCUGAGGAUACACGUCUGGGAGAAAGCAAUUGGAAGAAAUGCAAAGCUCUUCAAAGGAGACCUAUAAAGUCAUCUUUGUUUUGUUCAUUCUUCUCAUGUUUCUGCAUUCUGGGCAUUCUCCUAAAUUGGGGAGAAACCAAAAUGCCCAGAAGUCAAAUUCUGCAACUGUCAUCAUGCAAAAUGUCAAAUGAGAGAACCAAAGUAUGCUGGAUUCUAUAUUGUUAGGAAGGGAUGGUUAAUUUGAUUGACUCUUGGGAGCUAUUUUUCUAGCAUUAAGUAAUUCUAGGGAACCCUUCUGUGAUCAUCUCUGAGUAAAUAAAGAAGUGAAAUUGCAAUUCAAAUAA
Long non-coding RNA from Homo sapiens (human), 629 nucleotides. Ensembl annotates it as long intergenic non-protein coding RNA 1213. The record is from Ensembl. Lineage: Eukaryota; Metazoa; Chordata; Mammalia; Primates; Hominidae.